This is a long non-coding RNA of Drosophila teissieri, 358 nucleotides long. RefSeq lists it as uncharacterized. The record is from RefSeq and is a predicted model, not a curated record. The transcript has 2 exons. NCBI's taxonomy places the organism in Eukaryota, Metazoa, Arthropoda, Insecta, Diptera, Drosophilidae.
AUCAAAUUGACAGACAUAAUAUUUCCUAAAUGGUGUGUACCAAAUUAAAACAUGAUUUAAAAAAAACUAAACUAUGUUUCUUUUCUAAUAUUUUCCAUCAACUUUCUGACGGUUCCUAUGGCGUUAAGUUUAAAUGGGUUCCAGGUAGUUAUUUUCGAUGGGUACUUUCCGCACGUGAAGACCGAUUUGUGGUUAGAGCUGACAGCCCUGAUUAGUCUUAAAGAGAGCUCGUUAUAUACGCACAUUCUCACCUGAGGAAAUUAACCGAAGAUAUGGAGUAACAAAUUGCGAACCUCUUUUUUAUGUCGGUAAAUUAUUAUGUAGAGAUGAUUUCAAUAAUAAAUCAACUGAAAUCCCA